Molecule: long non-coding RNA, 524 nt
Organism: Seriola aureovittata
Lineage: Eukaryota; Metazoa; Chordata; Actinopteri; Carangiformes; Carangidae
Exons: 2
Source: RefSeq, a predicted model, not a curated record
UUGAUGAAAGGUAUCUCUGUGGUAUGAGAGGCUGAUGCUGAUGCUGAUGCUGAUGCUGCUGAGCGCCCACAGCCAGUCCCCUGGGAGCUCUAAUUAAGAUGAUUUUAUCCAAAGCAACUUACAAGUGAAGCAACUUGGGCUCCAGUGUCUCACCCAAAGAUACUACAGAACGUGGAGAGGAGGAGCUGGGAGUUGAACCGCCAACUUUGCAAUCAGCAGACAACCUGCUCUACCACCUGAGCUGCAAAACAUACUUUCCUUUUUAGGGAAGGGACACAAUGUGGACAAUAACUUAUGGCUCACUUUCAAAUAUUUCAUAGACUUUAAAUGUAAUAAUAAUAAAAGAGUGAUAAAAGUGACAGGAUAUGAAUAAAAAUAAUAAAAUAUAAAGAAAAGAAGAAACCUAAGAGUGAAGAAUAUACUUGAAACCUUGAAAAUAUGAUGGACAAGAAUAUAUACAUUCAUCCUGUCAGACAGCCCUGGUUUGUUGGCAAUAAAGUGCUCACCUCUGGAGCUUCUCUUUA